Molecule: transfer RNA, 94 nt
Filed under: Mycobacterium botniense
Lineage: Bacteria; Bacillati; Actinomycetota; Actinomycetes; Mycobacteriales; Mycobacteriaceae
Description: tRNA-Leu
Source: RNAcentral
GGCGCUGCGGGCGGCUGGACCGGCCACCGGCAUCCCAGGCAUGCCGGGCAUCCCGGGUAAGGCGGCCUGCGGGUCGGCACCCGCAGCGGCGCCG